Molecule: transfer RNA, 76 nt
Filed under: Armatimonadota bacterium
Lineage: Bacteria; Bacillati; Armatimonadota
Also listed under: 4 other names
Description: Armatimonadetes bacterium (activated sludge metagenome) tRNA-Arg
Rfam family: tRNA
About the family: Transfer RNA (tRNA) molecules are approximately 80 nucleotides in length. Their secondary structure includes four short double-helical elements and three loops (D, anti-codon, and T loops).
Source: RNAcentral
GCGGGCGUAGCUCAACGGAUAGAGCAUCAGUCUUCGGAACUGAGGGUUGGGGGUUCGAGUCCCUCCGCCCGCGCCA